Molecule: ribosomal RNA, 460 nt
Filed under: uncultured bacterium
Lineage: Bacteria
Description: partial 16S ribosomal RNA
Rfam family: Bacterial small subunit ribosomal RNA
Source: RNAcentral
CCUACGGGAGGCAGCAGUGAGGAAUAUUGGUCAAUGGACGAGAGUCUGAACCAGCCAAGUAGCGUGAAGGAUGACUGCCCUAUGGGUUGUAAACUUCUUUUAUAUGGGAAUAAAACGUUCCACGUGUGGGAUUUUGUAUGUACCAUAUGAAUAAGGAUCGGCUAACUCCGUGCCAGCAGCCGCGGUAAUACGGAGGAUCCGAGCGUUAUCCGGAUUUAUUGGGUUUAAAGGGAGCGUAGGUGGAUUGUUAGGUCAGUUGUGAAAGUUUGCGGCUCAACCGUAAAAUUGCAGUUGAAACUGGCAGUCUUGAGUACAGUAGAGGUGGGCGGAAUUCGUGGUGUAGCGGUGAAAUGCUUAGAUAUCACGAAGAACUCCGAUUGCGAAGGCAGUUCACUGGACUGCAACUGACACUGAGGCUCGAAAGUGUGGGUAUCAAACAGGAUUAGAUACCCGAGUAGUC